UCUAUUCCACCUUAACCCAACACCAAAAUCCCCACACUUCAUUCCCUCAAACAAACUACUAUUACAACCAACAAUAUCAACAACAAACCAACAUACACUCACCCAUACAAUACACUCCAAUUCCUCAACCCAACUCUGAUAACUCAAACCCCCAUUCUCAACCCCAAACAUUUAACACCACAUUCUCACAACCCACUUCUACAUGCAACCCUGAUGAUGUCUACUAUCCUCCUAUCCAACACAUCCAACCCAACACCUUCACACAACUAACACAUUCACUACCCGACUUUGACCUCACCGAUGAGCAUCUACUGAAUAUGCCUACUUU
RNAcentral lists this long non-coding RNA (328 nucleotides) under Lathyrus oleraceus (garden pea). Its description in RNAcentral is "Pisum sativum (pea) long non-coding RNA (PSAT_LNC000089)". Lineage: Eukaryota; Viridiplantae; Streptophyta; Magnoliopsida; Fabales; Fabaceae. The record is from RNAcentral.